Molecule: non-coding RNA, 603 nt
Organism: Kogia breviceps (pygmy sperm whale)
Lineage: Eukaryota; Metazoa; Chordata; Mammalia; Artiodactyla; Physeteridae
Source: RefSeq, a predicted model, not a curated record
AGAAAAAAAAUCUGCUCUUGAAGGAGAACGCUGGGUCUGUCUUCCGAGACACUUGGCAUCAAUAACGGAUAACUGAUUCUGGAGACUGAGGAAACAAAUAUCAGCUCAAAAUGCGUACAGCCUUUAAAAGAUUUUCCAGGAUGCGGGUUUGGGAGAGAAAACCUAAGCACAGCCCAGCGAAUUGCCUGCGUUGACCGGUUGGAGCCGAAAGUUUGGGGGAGACCGAGGAAGGGGGAAGACACAAACUGAGUGCUUACUCCUGAUCAUGGUGAAUGGUGGCUGUUUUUGUCUGCAGUUUUACCACUUUUCUAGUGCUGCCACAAUCUGCUGAAUUCUCUUUUGUUCUCUGCAGCCUCCCGACACUCAAGAUUUUAAACUAAUGAAGAUGAAGAAGGAUGAGGAGGAGGAAGAAGAGAAACUAUUACAGAUUGGUCUUACAUCAUGGAUCCUGAUUCCAGAAGUAUCAGGAGCUCUUUCAAGAAAUUAGAUGAUCCAUCACCACUGCCUUCAUCCAAACAGACUAUUUAAGGUGCAAAGUUUAACAACUAGAGUUCCAAACACUUCAUAAUGAUUCAGCACAGUUGUCACACUUGGAUGCCCUAG